RNAcentral lists this ribosomal RNA (497 nucleotides) under uncultured bacterium. RNAcentral describes it as "partial 16S ribosomal RNA". It matches the Rfam family "Bacterial small subunit ribosomal RNA", at positions 28 to 507 of the family's 1533-position model. The record is from RNAcentral.
GAUGAACGCUGGCGGCGUGCCUAAUACAUGCAAGUCGAGCGAACGGACGAGAAGCUUGCUUCACUGAUGUUAGCGGCGGACGGGUGAGUAACACGUGGAUAACCUACCUAUAAGACUGGGAUAACUUCGGGAAACCGGAGCUAAUACCGGAUAAUAUUUUGAACCGCAUGGUUCAAAAGUGAAAGACGGUCUUGCUGUCACUUAUAGAUGGAUCCGCGCUGCAUUAGCUAGUUGGUAAGGUAACGGCUUACCAAGGCAACGAUGCAUAGCCGACCUGAGAGGGUGAUCGGCCACACUGGAACUGAGACACGGUCCAGACUCCUACGGGAGGCAGCAGUAGGGAAUCUUCCGCAAUGGGCGAAAGCCUGACGGAGCAACGCCGCGUGAGUGAUGAAGGUCUUCGGAUCGUAAAACUCUGUUAUUAGGGAAGAACAUAUGUGUAAGUAACUGUGCACAUCUUGACGGUACCUAAUCAGAAAGCCACGGCUAACUACGUG